RNAcentral lists this ribosomal RNA (512 nucleotides) under uncultured bacterium. RNAcentral describes it as "bacterial SSU rRNA". It matches the Rfam family "Bacterial small subunit ribosomal RNA", at positions 28 to 532 of the family's 1533-position model. The record is from RNAcentral.
GAUGAACGCUAGCGGCAGGCCUAACACAUGCAAGUCGAGGGGCAGCGCGGGUAGCAAUACCUGGCGGCGACCGGCGCACGGGUGAGUAACGCGUAUGCAACCUGCCCGCCACAGGGGGAUAGCCCGCCGAAAGGCGGAUUAAUACCCCAUCGCCCCACGUUCCGGCAUCGGGAUGUGGGUAAAGGAGCGAUCCGGUGGCGGAUGGGCAUGCGUGCCAUUAGCUAGUUGGCGGGGUAACGGCCCACCAAGGCGACGAUGGCUAGGGGGUCUGAGAGGAUGGUCCCCCACACUGGUACUGAGACACGGACCAGACUCCUACGGGAGGCAGCAGUGAGGAAUAUUGGUCAAUGGGCGGAAGCCUGAACCAGCCAUGCCGCGUGCAGGAAGACGGCCCUACGGGUUGUAAACUGCUUUUCCGGGGGAAGAAUAAUCCCGACGUGUCGGGAGAUGCCGGUACCCCGGGAAUAAGGAUCGGCUAACUCCGUGCCAGCAGCCGCGGUAAAGUCUGUACU